UGGGAGAUCGUCCAACGGCAGGACAUGCGGCUCUGGACCGCAUUAUCGGGGUUCGAAUCCCUGUCUCCCAG
RNAcentral lists this transfer RNA (71 nucleotides) under candidate division Zixibacteria bacterium CG_4_9_14_3_um_filter_46_8. RNAcentral describes it as "tRNA-Gln". It matches the Rfam family "tRNA". Rfam says of the family: Transfer RNA (tRNA) molecules are approximately 80 nucleotides in length. Lineage: Bacteria; Pseudomonadati; Candidatus Zixiibacteriota. The record is from RNAcentral.